AGGGGAAUAUAGCACAAUGGGGGAAACCCUGAUGCAGCGACGCCGCGUGAACGAAGAAGGUAUUCGUAUCGUAAAGUUCUGUCCUAUGGGAAGCUAAUGACAGUACCAUAGAAGAAAGCUCGGGCUAAAUACGUGCCAGCAGCCGCGGUAAUACGUAUGGAGCGAGCGUUGUCCGGAAUUAUUGGGCGUAAAGGGUACGCAGGCGGGUUAAUAAGUCGAAUGUUAAAGAUCGGGGCUCAACCCCGUAAAGCAUUGGAAACUGAUAAACUUGAGUAGUGGAGAGGAAAGUUCAAUUCCUAGUGUAGUGGUGAAAUACGUAGAUAUUAGGUGGAAUACCAGUAUCGAAGGCGACUUUCUGGACACAAACUGACGCUGAGGUACGAAAGCGUGGGGAGCAAACAGG
Molecule: ribosomal RNA, 403 nt
Filed under: bacterium
Lineage: Bacteria
Description: partial 16S ribosomal RNA
Rfam family: Bacterial small subunit ribosomal RNA
Source: RNAcentral